This 466-nucleotide ribosomal RNA is filed under the name uncultured bacterium. Its description in RNAcentral is "partial 16S ribosomal RNA". It matches the Rfam family "Bacterial small subunit ribosomal RNA", at positions 28 to 506 of the family's 1533-position model. The record is from RNAcentral.
GACGAACGCUGGCGGCGUGCUUAACACAUGCAAGUCGAACGGAAAGGCCUCUUUCGGGGGGUACUCGAGUGGCGAACGGGUGAGUAACACGUGAGUAACCUGCCCUUUACUUUGGGUUAACUUCAGGAAACUGGGGCUAAUACCGGAUAGGAGCUCCUGCUGCAUGGUGGGGGUUGGAAAGUUUAGGCGGUUGGGGAUGGACUCGCGGCUUAUCAGCUUGUUGGUGGGGUAGUGGCUUACCAAGGCUUUGACGGGUAGCCGGCCUGAGAGGGUGACCGGCCACAUUGGGACUGAGAUACGGCCCAGACUCCUACGGGAGGCAGAAGUGGGGAAUAUUGCACAAUGGGUGGAAGCCUGAUGCAGCAACGCCGUGUGCGGGAUGACGGCCUUCGGGUUGUAAACCGCUUUCGCUCAUGACGAAGCUUUGUGUGACGGUAGUGGGUAAAGAAGCACCGGCUAACUACGU